Carassius gibelio (silver crucian carp) is the source of this 3134-nucleotide long non-coding RNA. RefSeq lists it as uncharacterized. The record is from RefSeq and is a predicted model, not a curated record. The transcript is spliced from 6 exons. NCBI's taxonomy places the organism in Eukaryota, Metazoa, Chordata, Actinopteri, Cypriniformes, Cyprinidae.
AUACAACAAGUCCUCCAACUCAUACGACCGUAUGGGUCGUUUGUCACUAUCCAUAAAUACGACCCACACGAGCGUUCUCUAAAUUAGCGCCCCUAUUGGCAACAGGAGGUAUGAUAAAUGAACUUUCGCCUAAAUGCAUUGUGGGUUUAUUUUAACAUGUUUGCUAUUUGCGUUUUGAAUUGUUUGAUUUAAACUCUCCCAGAUCUUCGUGGAUUUUGAUGAUAUGGAUUUUAGAUGACUUCGAGACAUGUACAGGUAAGGUUUUCUCCCGUCUCAUAAAGUAGUCGAUCGUUUAUGAAUAAUAUGAGUUUUUAUUUUCAAAUCGAUACUGGACACUGUAUGUCCUAUUAAACCAGUUUGACGUUCAAAUCAUUUAAUCGAAAUCUGCAGCUUUAUAAAGUUAGUUUUCAUUGUGAUAUUCGUUUGAAAUUCGCCUGUGGUGGAAAGAGGUCAUGUAAAAGUCGCGCAUUUACCAUGUUUUUACCAUAGUAACAUGUCGCUGAACCAUGUCACGUGUUAUAAAACCUCAGUAACCACAACUCAAUGUAUCUCCCGUCAUAACUGUAGUUUUACUUUGGUAUUUGUAGUAUAAACACGUUACCAUGCUUUUCACCACAGUAACUGUGCUUAUUGUGUACUCUUUAGUUAAGUAACACAUUUGCCAUGCCUUUAAUACCUUUUUGUAAUGUAAUUGUGAUUCAGUGUUUUUUUUCUUUUCAGUUUUGCAGUUUCUUCAUAUCACAUACAUCUCCAGCUCCUACAACAACAUUCAGUGUCCAGCAGCUCUUUAUGAUGCUCUCUCUCUCUCUCUCUCUCUCUCUCUCUUUCUCUCUCACUCUCUCUCUCUCUCUCUCUCUCUCAUUUUCGUUUCCUAUUUUUCUGAACUGUAAUUCAUAAAUAAGUCACACAUAUUUUUCUUUCUUUCUCUUGUUCAUCAUGGCAUAUUUUCACAGCUCAGAAUCAGAUUUUGAUCAGUUCUUGUAUUAACAGGGAACUUGUACUCGAAGCUCAACUUGAAGAAGUUUCCAGUGAAGAUGAAGUCCUUCAAAGGUUCGACACAGGUACAAACAGAGCGGAUGGUUGCAUGAUGGCCUCUUUCAGGUUUGUCAACUGAAUGUCUACUAGUGUGGCUCAGCAAGUUCCUGUCAUGAUCAGCCCUCUCCAAGAAAGCUGAAGAGCAAAAACACAAAGAACAUCAGUCCUGUUGGGGAUGAGGAAUGAACAUGGCUCUAUUGUGCCCAAACAGAAAAGAGUGAAAAGUCCUAGAAUGAACAAAUCAUCAGGGCAUCAUUUCUGGAAUUUGGGCAGAAAAUGACUGAAUAUGAAAGACUGCAGUAGAAGGAAAGCUGGUACUGAGAACAUUUGUCUUCACUCCAGACUAAAGAGAAGUGGGUCUGAGGCCAGAGAUGGAGGAGUCAGUGGUCACCAAAUGCAGCGCUGCAGCCUGAAACUGUGAAGACUGAAUUCCCAAACAGCUGUGUGACUGCACAGAUGUUACGGCCAUAAAAGAAACUUCACAACUGAGAGCCCAUACCUCCAACAACCUUCAACAGGAAUCAAUGGACAUCUACGCAAGGUUUUUCUUUUGUUGAGGACCGUCAGAGACUCCAGCCACACGAGCCAUGGAUUGCUCUCAACAUCACCAUCAGACAGACAUUAUCACAGAACCAGCACCAGCAGACUGCAAGACAAGUUCCUUCCACAGGCGAUCAGACUGAACUGAACUCGUACCAGUAACACCACACACACACACACACAAACACACACACACACACACACACACACUCACACACCAGCAUACUGUGUGCACUGCACUCUAUCAGCUACACUGACUGGACUCUGACUCACUAUUAUUCUGCAACCUGAUAUUCUGUUUGCACUAAUUCAUACUGUACUGAAAGUGAAAGUGACGUGACAUACAGUCAAGUAUGGUGACCCAUACUCAGAAUUUGUGCUCUGCAUUUAACCCAUCCGAAGUGCACACACACAGAGCAGUGAACACACACACACUGUGAACACACACCCGGAGCAGUGGGCAGAGGUAUAUCUACAGUAUACAGUGAUUGUUGUUAAUUGUUUUCAUUUUGUUCUCUCUGUAUAGUAUAGUAUUGCACUAUAUUUUCUACCUGUAUUGAGCUCUUAUGUAUACGGUUUAUAUUUUUGAUACUGUAUAUGUGUUGCAAAUAUAUUCAGUACUUGUCAUGCUGCAGUUUGCAGAAAAGCAUUUUACCACCUGUAUACUUGCAUUCAUGGUAUUGUGAUAAUAAAAUGAUUUGAUUUGAAUUGGUCACAUGACUUGUUCAUCAGUUGUAUUGUUGUGCUGGAUAACAAUUGCAAAUUGUUUAUGACAUUGAAGAAGAUCAUGAUAGAGACAUGGAUUUGAAGAAAACCAGGAGAGCUCUGAUGAUGAGAAGGAAACUGGAUGUGAUUCUUUGGUGCUCAAGACAUUUCACCAUGCCUUCAUCUGGGUUUCUUCAUCUGAUUAAAAUAAAAUGGUUUUAAUGUAACCCAUUUUUAUUUCACUUUAAUAUAAUUUGUCUUAAUAUGCUUCUUUAUCUGUCUUUAUGCUGCAUCCUAGUAAAAUAUUGCGUAUGGUGUUGGAUAAUCAAGUAUGGUGAAUAUUCUGUACUAGAGAUGGUUUUUUGGUAGAUACACCAUUUAAUUUUGUAAACAACACAUAUAAUCACCAUGGUUGUUUUGAUGAAGACAUGAACAUUUAGUAAUAUUAAUGAAAUUCAGUUAGAUGAAGAGCUGCAUUAGAAGAGACUGCAUGGACUUCAUGCACAACUGAAGGUGAUGAAUCAAGGAAAGAUCAACAUGAAUCCUGUUCUGUAUUAUAAUGAAGAUGUUCAUGCACAUUACUGAUGUCUAGCUCCUGAGCAGGACAAAGAUGAGACAUUCUUUACAGAGAUUUAUGAAUUAGGUAUUUUAUAUUAUGAUUCUUUAAAUUGCAUGAAUUGUAUGGAACCAUAAACUGCACACUGUCACACAUUGUCUUACUGAAUGACACAUUGGCCUUGUCUGAUGAAAUGUCAGAAUAUGUAUUUGUUGUCUUUGUUUACUAUUAGCACUGUAUUAUUGCUCUUGAUCUUAUGAAAUAAAUUGAGCUCUUUCCAAAUGGGCACUUAUGUUGA